Molecule: ribosomal RNA, 1371 nt
Filed under: uncultured bacterium
Lineage: Bacteria
Description: bacterial SSU rRNA
Rfam family: Bacterial small subunit ribosomal RNA
Source: RNAcentral
AGAGUUUGAUCCUGGCUCAGGACGAACGCUGGCGGCGCGCCUAACACAUGCAAGUCGAACGGAGCUUAGAGAGCUUGCUUUUUAAGCUUAGUGGCGAACGGGUGAGUAACGCGUGAGUAACCUGCCCUAGAGUGGGGGACAACAGUUGGAAACGACUGCUAAUACCGCAUAAGCCCACGGUGCCGCAUGACACUGAGGGAAAAGGAUUUAUUCGCUUUAGGAUGGACUCGCGUCCAAUUAGCUAGUUGGUGAGGUAACGGCCCACCAAGGCGACGAUUGGUAGCCGGACUGAGAGGUUGAACGGCCACAUUGGGACUGAGACACGGCCCAGACUCCUACGGGAGGCAGCAGUGGGGGAUAUUGCACAAUGGGGGAAACCCUGAUGCAGCGACGCCGCGUGGAGGAAGAAGGUUUUCGGAUUGUAAACUCCUGUCGUUAGGGACGAUAAUGACGGUACCUAACAAGAAAGCACCGGCUAACUACGUGCCAGCAGCCGCGGUAAAACGUAGGGUGCAAGCGUUGUCCGGAAUUACUGGGUGUAAAGGGAGCGCAGGCGGGAAGACAAGUUGGAAGUGAAAACCAUGGGCUCAACCCAUGAAUUGCUUUCAAAACUGUUUUUCUUGAGUAGUGCAGAGGUAGAUGGAAUUCCCGGUGUAGCGGUGGAAUGCGUAGAUAUCGGGAGGAACACCAGUGGCGAAGGCGGUCUACUGGGCACCAACUGACGCUGAGGCUCGAAAGCAUGGGUAGCAAACAGGAUUAGAUACCCUGGUAGUCCAUGCCGUAAACGAUGAUUACUAGGUGUUGGGGGAUUGACCCCCUCAGUGCCGCAGUUAACACAAUAAGUAAUCCACCUGGGGAGUACGACCGCAAGGUUGAAACUCAAAGGAAUUGACGGGGGCCCGCACAAGCAGUGGAGUAUGUGGUUUAAUUCGAAGCAACGCGAAGAACCUUACCAGGUCUUGACAUCCGAUGCAUAACACGGAGAUGUGUGAAAUCCUUCGGGACAUCGAGACAGGUGGUGCAUGGUUGUCGUCAGCUCGUGUCGUGAGAUGUUGGGUUAAGUCCCGCAACGAGCGCAACCCUUAUUGCCAGUUACUACGCAAGAGGACUCUGGCCAGACUGCCGUUGACAAAACGGAGGAAGGUGGGGAUGACGUCAAAUCAUCAUGCCCUUUAUGACUUGGGCUACACACGUACUACAAUGGCGUUAAACAAAGAGAAGCAAGACCGCGAGGUGGAGCAAAACUCAGAAACAACGUCCCAGUUCAGACUGCAGGCUGCAACUCGCCUGCACGAAGUCGGAAUUGCUAGUAAUCGUGGAUCAGCAUGCCACGGUGAAUACGUUCCCGGGCCUUGCACUCACCGCCCGUCA